UGAAAAUGGUUAGGGAUGGAUAACUUUUUCCCGUGAAAAGUGCAAAGAUCUAUACAGUACUGGUCUGCUCAGCUUGGUCAGUUCACAAAUAUUUUGUUAGAAAAUCAGCAAAGCCACCGACUUGAAUACAAGCCAUCGACUUGAAUACAUUGGUUAUUUUCCAUGUACCAACAAUAUGGAAAUAAAAUUUGUUUAUAAAUUUGAAAGGCA
Mercenaria mercenaria is the source of this 210-nucleotide long non-coding RNA. RefSeq lists it as uncharacterized. The transcript is spliced from 2 exons. The record is from RefSeq and is a predicted model, not a curated record. Lineage: Eukaryota; Metazoa; Mollusca; Bivalvia; Venerida; Veneridae.